Molecule: long non-coding RNA, 286 nt
Filed under: Elaeis guineensis (African oil palm)
Lineage: Eukaryota; Viridiplantae; Streptophyta; Magnoliopsida; Arecales; Arecaceae
Description: long non-coding RNA (EGUI_LNC021361)
Source: RNAcentral
GAACAAGCAAUCCCUGGUUACUGCAGAAUUAUGUUUAGCUGGGAUGGGUUCACGCCAGCUAAUUCCUCUGUUAUGGAAUCUCACCAACCACUGCUUGAACAAAUCCAAUGUCCGGUUUCUCAGAUGAAGUCCAUUGGCCCAGAUCAUUGAAAACAAUGACAUCCAUGCAUGAGAUGAAAGAACAAAAAUUUCUGGUGCUAUCUCUAAAGCUGAAAUACUUUCAUAUCUGCAACAACUCUGUUUUAGCAUCAGAUUAUAUAACUGCACAAAAGAAAUUUGUCACUGC